This 491-nucleotide ribosomal RNA is filed under the name uncultured bacterium. RNAcentral describes it as "partial 16S ribosomal RNA". It matches the Rfam family "Bacterial small subunit ribosomal RNA", at positions 29 to 507 of the family's 1533-position model. The record is from RNAcentral.
AUGAACGCUAGCUACAGGCUUAACACCUGCCAGUCGAGGGGAAACGACAUCGAAAGCUUGCUUUUGAUGGGCGUCGACCGGCGCACGGGUGAGUAACGCGUAUCCAACCUGCCCAUCACUUGGGAAUAACCUUGCGAAAGUAAGACUAAUACCCAAUGAUAUCCCACGAAGGCAUCGGAAUGGGAUUAAAGAUUUAUCGGUGAUGGAUGGGGAUGCGUCUGAUUAGCUUGUUGGCGGGGUAACGGCCCACCAAGGCAACGAUCAGUAGGGGUUCUGAGAGGAAGGUCCCCCACAUUGGAACUGAGCCACGGUCCAAACUCCUACGGGAGGCAGCAGUGAGGAAUAUUGGUCAAUGGGCGAGAGCCUGAACCAGCCAAGUAGCGUGCAGGAAGACGGCCCUAUGGGUUGUAAACUGCUUUUAUAAGGGAAUAAAGUGGGUCACGUGUGACUUUUUGCAUGUACCUUAUGAAUAAGGACCGGCUAAUUCCGUG